This 490-nucleotide ribosomal RNA is filed under the name uncultured bacterium. Its description in RNAcentral is "partial 16S ribosomal RNA". It matches the Rfam family "Bacterial small subunit ribosomal RNA", at positions 30 to 507 of the family's 1533-position model. The record is from RNAcentral.
AUUGAACGCUGGCGGCAGGCCUAACACAUGCAAGUCGAACGGUAACAGGAAGAAGCUUGCUUCUUUGCUGACGAGUGGCGGACGGGUGAGUAAUGUCUGGGAAACUGCCUGAUGGAGGGGGAUAACUACUGGAAACGGUAGCUAAUACCGCAUAACGUCGCAAGACCAAAGAGGGGGACCUUCGGGCCUCUUGCCAUCGGAUGUGCCCAGAUGGGAUUAGCUAGUAGGUGGGGUAACGGCUCACCUAGGCGACGAUCCCUAGCUGGUCUGAGAGGAUGACCAGCCACACUGGAACUGAGACACGGUCCAGACUCCUACGGGAGGCAGCAGUGGGGAAUAUUGCACAAUGGGCGCAAGCCUGAUGCAGCCAUGCCGCGUGUAUGAAGAAGGCCUUCGGGUUGUAAAGUACUUUCAGCGGGGAGGAAGAGAGUAAAGUUAAUACCUUGGCUCAUUGACGUUACCCGCAGAAGAAGCACCGGCUAACUCCGUG